CCCUUCGAUAUCCUGGGCCGCACGCGCGCUACACUGAUCCACUCAACAAGUGCCUCCUCCACCGACAGGUGUGGGUAAUCUUUUGAAACUGGAUCGUGAUGGGGAUUGACGAUUGUAAUUUUUCGUCACCAACGAGGAAUUCCUAGUAAGCGCAAGUCAUCAGCUUGCAUUGAUUACGUCCCUGCCCUUUGUACACACCGCCCGUCGCUCCUACCGAUUGAGCGUUUCGAUCAGUUGUCAGGAUUGUCUUUCUUUCUUGGAGGAUGAGAAUUUCUGCUAGUCGCUGCGCUUAGAGGAAGGAGAANUCGUANCA
RNAcentral lists this ribosomal RNA (313 nucleotides) under uncultured eukaryote. Its description in RNAcentral is "partial 18S ribosomal RNA". It matches the Rfam family "Eukaryotic small subunit ribosomal RNA", at positions 1470 to 1796 of the family's 1831-position model. The record is from RNAcentral.